UGUCGGUUCUCCCGCAACACUACUCUGUGAAUUCGGUCAGGUCCGGAAGGAAGCAGCCGCAGCGGACGAUGUGUGUGCCGGGAUGUAGCUGGCAGGG
This 97-nucleotide signal recognition particle RNA is filed under the name Prodigiosinella confusarubida. Its description in RNAcentral is "Serratia sp. ATCC 39006 Bacterial small signal recognition particle RNA". It matches the Rfam family "Bacterial small signal recognition particle RNA". From Rfam's summary of the family: The signal recognition particle (SRP) is a universally conserved ribonucleoprotein involved in the co-translational targeting of proteins to membranes. Archaeal SRP consists of a 7S RNA and homologues of the eukaryotic SRP19 and SRP54 proteins. Lineage: Bacteria; Pseudomonadati; Pseudomonadota; Gammaproteobacteria; Enterobacterales; Pectobacteriaceae. The record is from Rfam by way of RNAcentral.